Molecule: ribosomal RNA, 492 nt
Filed under: uncultured bacterium
Lineage: Bacteria
Description: partial 16S ribosomal RNA
Rfam family: Bacterial small subunit ribosomal RNA
Source: RNAcentral
AGUGAACGCUGGCGGUAGGCCUAACACAUGCAAGUCGAACGGCAGCACAGUAAGAGCUUGCUCUUACGGGUGGCGGGUGGCGGACGGGUGAGGAAUACAUCGGAAUCUACUUUUUCGUGGGGGAUAACGUAGGGAAACUUACGCUAAUACCGCAUACGACCUACGGGUGAAAGCAGGGGAUCUUCGGACCUUGCGCGAUUGAAUGAGCCGAUGUCGGAUUAGCUAGUUGGCGGGGUAAAGGCCCACCAAGGCGACGAUCCGUAGCUGGUCUGAGAGGAUGAUCAGCCACACUGGAACUGAGACACGGUCCAGACUCCUACGGGAGGCAGCAGUGGGGAAUAUUGGACAAUGGGCGCAAGCCUGAUCCAGCCAUACCGCGUGGGUGAAGAAGGCCUUCGGGUUGUAAAGCCCUUUUGUUGGGAAAGAAAAGCAGCAGGUUAAUACCCCGCUGUUCUGACGGUACCCAAAGAGUAAGCACCGGCUAACUUCGUG